Dreissena polymorpha is the source of this 266-nucleotide long non-coding RNA. RefSeq lists it as uncharacterized. Lineage: Eukaryota; Metazoa; Mollusca; Bivalvia; Myida; Dreissenidae. The record is from RefSeq and is a predicted model, not a curated record. The transcript has 3 exons.
CAAUGUGAUGAAAGAACCAAUGACUGCAACAAUCUUGUCAAGGUAAAGCAAUGUGAUGAAAGAACAAAUGACUGCAACAAUCUUGUCAAGGUAAAGCAAUGUGAUGAAAGAACAAAUGACUGCAACAAUCUUGUCAAGGUAAAGCAAUGUGAUGAAAGAACCAAUGACUGCAACAAUCUUGUCAAGGUAAAGCAAUGUGAUGAAAGAACAAAUGACUGCAACAAUCUUGUCAAGGUAAAGCAAUGUGAUGAAAGAACCAAUGACUG